RNAcentral lists this ribosomal RNA (478 nucleotides) under uncultured bacterium. RNAcentral's name for it is "partial 16S ribosomal RNA". It matches the Rfam family "Bacterial small subunit ribosomal RNA", at positions 28 to 523 of the family's 1533-position model. The record is from RNAcentral.
GACGAACGCUGGCGGCGUGCUUAACACAUGCAAGUCGAACGGUAAGGCCCUUCGGGGUACACGAGUGGCGAACGGGUGAGUAACACGUGGGUGAUCUGCCCUGCACUUCGGGAUAAGCCUGGGAAACUGGGUCUAAUACCGGAUAGGACUCCUGCCUGCAUGGGUGGGGGUGGAAAGCUUUUGCGGUGUGGGAUGGGCCCGCGGCCUAUCAGCUUGUUGGUGGGGUGAUGGCCUACCAAGGCGACGACGGGUAGCCGGCCUGAGAGGGUGACCGGCCACACUGGGACUGAGAUACGGCGCAAACUCCUACGGGAGGCAGCAGUGGGGAAUAUUGCACAAUGGGCGCAAGCCUGAUGCAGCGACGCCGCGUGAGGGAUGACGGCCUUCGGGUUGUAAACCUCUUUCAGCACAGACGAAGCGCAAGUGACGGUAUGUGCAGAAGAAGGACCGGCCAACUACGUGCCAGCCGCCGCAGUAA